Hydra vulgaris (swiftwater hydra) is the source of this 419-nucleotide long non-coding RNA. RefSeq lists it as uncharacterized. The record is from RefSeq and is a predicted model, not a curated record. Lineage: Eukaryota; Metazoa; Cnidaria; Hydrozoa; Anthoathecata; Hydridae.
CUGUUUUCAUUAACUUGGCUUUGAUAGCAAAUCUGAGAGGUGCAAAUGUUUAGCUUGAUUUAAGUACUACAUAAUAAAAUACAUCGUUUUACAGUCAAUUUGACGGUUGUAAGUUUAGCACACUCAUUUAUAUACAUUUUUAGACUGUUUACCGUUUGACUCCUGUCCCAAUCUAACCUAGUGGGUUCAAAAAAGAAUGGACCGCGCUGGAAAAAUGAGUGAAUUAAAAGGAUCAGCCCUUUUUGAAUUAAUAGUCGAAGUGGUAACCAGCUAGAAGUCGUAACCUGCUCGUAUGAAAAGAUUUCUCGACGUGAAAUUGUUAAUUUUAUUCAACAACGCCAAGAAACAAAGCUCGCUCAUGAAACAGAAAAGAAAGAGAAAGAUGAAAAAAUAUUCUGUUGAACAAUAUUAUUAAUUUA